GGCGUGGCGAAAUGAGGAAGGACUGGACUGAGGCGGGGCGCGCGCGUGGGAAAGAUGGCGCUGCGUCUGCUGUGGAGAGGGCCACAUGGAACGCCGGCGGCGGCGCUGCUGAGGCUGAAACCAUUUUUGGCAGCUGAUGUGCCCAGGCUUGGAUAUAGUUCCUCAUCCAAUCACAGGUACAUUCCCCGGAGGGCAGUGCUCUAUGUACCUGGAAAUGAUGAAAAGAAAAUAAAGAAGAUUCCCUCCCUGAACGUAGAUUGUGCAGUGCUCGACUGCGAGGAUGGUGUGGCUAUGAACAAAAAGAAUGAAGCUCGACUGAGAAUAGUAAAAACUCUUGAAGACUUUGAUCUGGGCCCAACUGAAAAGUGUGUGAGAGUCAACUCGGUGUCCAGCAGCCUGGCCGAAGAGGACCUGGAGACCCUCCUGCAGUCCCGGGUCCUUCCCUCUAGCCUGAUGCUGCCAAAGGUGGAAGGUCCUGAAGAAAUUCAGUGGUUUUCAGACAAAUUCUCAUUCUACUUAAAAGGCCGAAAACUUGAACAACCUAUGAAUUUAAUCCCUUUUGUGGAAACUGCAAAGGGUUUGCUCAAUUUUAAGUCCGUGUGUGAAGAGGCACUAAAGACCGGACCUCAAGUGGGUCUUUUUCUAGAUGCAGUCGUUUUUGGAGGAGAAGACUUUCGAGCCAGCAUAGGUGCAACAAGUAGUAAAGAAACCCAAGAUAUUCUGUACGCCCGACAGAAGAUUAUUGUUACAGCGAAGGCCUUUGGUCUGCAGGCCAUAGAUCUGGUGUACAUCGACUUUCGAGAUAGAGAGGGGCUCCUCAGGCAGUCAAGGGAAGGAGCUGCGAUGGGAUUUACCGGUAAGCAGGUGAUACACCCUAACCAAAUUGUCGUGGUGCAGGAACAGUUUUCUCCUUCCCCCGAAAAAAUUAAGUGGGCUGAAGAACUGAUCGCUGCCUUUAAAGAACAUCAACAAUUAGGAAAGGUUAGUGGGCCUGAAGGAAAAGAAAGUAGGGAAAUUUCUCACCACUACCCUAGAGAGUAAAGAAUUCUGUCUACUGAAUCAUACCUCCCUGCAGCAUCUUGGACAGAAAUAGGGAGCCUUUACUUUCCAAGGGAGUAUGAUCGACAUGCCAUUACUGAAGCAAGCCCAGAACAUUGUUACGCUUGCCACAUCCAUCAAGGAAAAAUGAUCUGUUAAAUGAAGCUCUCAUCAGGUGGGCUGAACAUAUACAGUGGGUUUCUUAAAGACAAACCAUAAUACUCAAGGCAACUUGUUAGUAUGCCAGAUUGGAACCUUUCUCCCAUUUACAGUUCAUGUUAAUCACGAUUUGUGUGUGUGUGUUAUCUCACUGGCCAGUUAUUCCUCUAAAAAUGAACUUCUUCCUUUUUGGUUCCAAGCUUAUGACUUUAUUGCUCAUUAAUGUGUUACAAAUAUGCACUUAUGAUUUCACGGGAAGGUAAAAUAGUGGAGAGAGAUGGGCUGGAGGGAUGUGAGGUUUUUAAUGAAACAGAUCUUUCUCGAAUAUGUAUGCUCCCUUCACAUUUCUCACGUUAGAUGUUUCCCACAUUGUUCAUUACUCGACACUGUAAAUAAUUUAAGGCCAGUCUUAAAAAAUAGUCAUUAAAUGAAGGGGUUAUGUUUAUUUCACUAGAAAUCUGAUAAAAUGAGAGAUGGCAUAGAAAAGUUAAGUAUCGGAUAGCUUCUAAAAAUAAAUCUUCAAAACUGAUUUCUCUUAACCUCCAUCUCCCAAAAUGAAACAGCCAUACAUUUGAAUGGGUAGGUGAGAACUAUGAAAGCCCUCAUCCUGGGUGAAUGCUUUGGGUCAACAGUUACCAGCAAUUAAAAAAAAAAUGUGCAGAAACGCAAGACCAUCCAUUCUCUCCCUUAAUUUCCCCAUUUAACUGUUUGCCAUUGAGGCCACAUCCCCCUGUAAAUGUAUGGCCGGGACAGGGCCCCCCUCAGCAAUAAACUUGUAGCCUCUAAGAAGACACAAUGCGGCAGAGCUGGUGCAUAUGGUCCCCUGCGAGAUUUGCAUCACAUUAGAGAUGCUGCUGCAGGUCAUAUGGGCGGUGUGGUUAACGGGCUUAGUAAAGCUGUUUUGAAGAGGUUAACCCAGCUUGUAGGAAGGGUAAAUAAACAUAACAACCAGCCAUUCUUCCCUAUUCAGCGUGUGCUCUUAUACUGAAGGCUAAAGGGUAUUGAAGCUGGGAAGGAUCAACUUGUGUUUGCCAGAGGACGCCAAUGAAAUUUGAAACACCAACAAUCAGAGAUUUUGUUUCAGCUCCUCAUUAAAUCAUGAGCUUUUGUGUUGAGACUCUGGACGACUGUUCUUUAAGAAAUUAACAGAAUGGGAAGUUUUAAACUCUACACCAACCUUUUCAUGACCUACACAGCAGCAAAGCUGCUACUCUUAGACAAACACCGCGGGGAAGGCUGUUCUGUUUAUUUAAAUUUGUAAAUAGAAAACAGUUGUUUUUUUAUUUUCAUUUUUCACCCCUCCUACACCCUUGUUGUUUAUUUCCUCCGUGGCCCCUACUGUAUGGCCAGCCAGGGGUCUACUCUGCCCCUGCCUCUUCCAGUUCCUACAGGAAGUUGAGAGGGAAGUAGAGUUGAAGGUUAUACAAGGAAAGACGCCAUGGAACUCAAGCAGAGUGGGAGAGGCCCACACACCGUCCUGCAACACCCGCCCACCCAGUGCACUGAAGGAAGGGGAUGAUUCAGUUCUGACAGGCAGGCAGGGAAGGAACUGGAUCCAGGCAGGAUGGUUCUGAGGAAACACAUUCUUGAAACACCAACUAAUAAUCCCAGACCUGGGAUCUGAGUAGACAGCUCUUAAAUGGGGAUGGGAUGUGCUAAGCUGGGGUCCUGGCCUGCGUUGGUGGUGGGUCUCCUCUCCUCUGUGCACCCCUCUCUCUAGCCCCUCAUGAGAGCAUUGUCACUUUUCACCUUGGUCGUCCUGUGCUGCCCCCAAGUUAGCUGGAAAGGAAGGUAGAAGCUAGCCCCAUCCUCACAUGGAGCGGCUGGAAGGAGGAGGAUGGCAUCUCAGCCAAUGUGGGAAGACUGGCCUCCCAUCAGACUGGGCUUCAGGCCUGCAGAUAGGGGCAGCAGGCAGCAGUCACAGGAGAGGCAGCACCCACCACCACCACUGUUGUCGCAGCUGUGUGUCGUAGGCUGGCAGCCAGGUGUGCACUGGGGUGAUCCAAGACGGUAGACCUGGUUCAGACCCCUCUGCUCAGAACACACAGACACAGGGGGACUGCUCAGAAGGCAGAAAGCAAAGGGAGGCCUCAUCUUAUCCUGACCUGUCCCUUACACACACCUCCUCCUCAGGGUGUUAGAACUAGCCUACACUGUGCCUGUCUUACAAGAAGAAAAUAAAAGCCUUCCUUCU
Ailuropoda melanoleuca (giant panda) is the source of this 3391-nucleotide RNA transcript. It is a transcript of the gene named citramalyl-CoA lyase, with no coding region annotated. The record is from RefSeq and is a predicted model, not a curated record. NCBI's taxonomy places the organism in Eukaryota, Metazoa, Chordata, Mammalia, Carnivora, Ursidae. The transcript has 9 exons.